RNAcentral lists this ribosomal RNA (848 nucleotides) under uncultured bacterium. Its description in RNAcentral is "bacterial SSU rRNA". It matches the Rfam family "Bacterial small subunit ribosomal RNA", at positions 26 to 916 of the family's 1533-position model. The record is from RNAcentral.
AGAGCGAACGCUGGCGGCAGGCUUAAUACAUGCAAGUCGAGCGCCUGUAGCAAUACAGGAGCGGCAGACGGGAGAGUAACACGUGGGAACGUGCCCUUUGGUUCGGAACAACACAGGGAAACUUGUGCUAAUACCGGAUAAGCCCUUACGGGGAAAGAUUUAUUGCCAAAGGAUCGGCCCGCGUCUGAUUAGCUAGUUGGUGGGGUAAAAGCCUACCAAGGCGAUGAUCAGUAGCUGGUCUGAGAGGAUGGACAGCCACACUGGGACUGAGAUACGGCCCAGACUCCUACGGGAGGCAGCAGCAAGGAAUUUUCGUCAAUGGGGGCAACCCUGAACGAGCAACGCCGCGUGGGUGACGAAGUCUUUCGGGAUGUAAAACCCUUUUCUGUGGGAAGAAGGAAAGACGGUACCACAGGAAUAAGCAUCGGCUAACUACGUGCCAGCAGCCGCGGUAAUACGUAGGAUGCAAGCGUUGUCCGGAAUUAUUGGGCGUAAAGGGUGCGCAGGCGGUUUUUCAAGUCAGAUGUGAAAUAUCCCGGCUUAGCUGGGAGGGGCCAUUUGAAACUGAAAGACUAGAGUGCAGGAGAGGAUAGCGGAAUUCCCGGUGUAGUGGUGAAAUGCGUAGAUAUCGGGAGGAACACCAGUGGCGAAGGCGGCUAUCUGGCCUGCAACUGACGCUGAGGCACGAAGGCUAGGGGAGCGAACAGGAUUAGAUACCCUGGUAGUCCUAGCAGUAAACGAUGAACACUAGGUGUUGGGGGAAAUUGACCCCCUCAGUGCCGCAACUAACGUAAUAAGUGUUCCGCCUGGGGAGUACGGUCGCAAGAUAAAACUUAAAGGAAUGACGG